This 888-nucleotide small RNA is filed under the name Didymella glomerata. Its description in RNAcentral is "eukaryotic LSU rRNA". It matches the Rfam family "Eukaryotic large subunit ribosomal RNA", at positions 53 to 958 of the family's 3401-position model. Lineage: Eukaryota; Fungi; Ascomycota; Dothideomycetes; Pleosporales; Didymellaceae. The record is from RNAcentral.
GAGGAAAAGAAACCAACAGGGAUUGCCCUAGUAACGGCGAGUGAAGCGGCAACAGCUUCAAAUUUGAAAUCUGGCGUCUUUGGCGUCCGAGUUGUAAUUUGCAGAGGGCGCUUUGGCAUUGGCAGCGGUCCAAGUUCCUUGGAACAGGACGUCACAGAGGGUGAGAAUCCCGUACGUGGUCGCUAGCCUUUACCGUGUAAAGCCCCUUCGACGAGUCGAGUUGUUUGGGAAUGCAGCUCUAAAUGGGAGGUAAAUUUCUUCUAAAGCUAAAUACUGGCCAGAGACCGAUAGCGCACAAGUAGAGUGAUCGAAAGAUGAAAAGCACUUUGGAAAGAGAGUUAAAAAGCACGUGAAAUUGUUGAAAGGGAAGCGCUUGCAGCCAGACUUGCCUGUAGUUGCUCAUCCGGGUUUCUACCCGGUGCACUCUUCUAUAGGCAGGCCAGCAUCAGUUUGGGCGGUUGGAUAAAGGUCUCUGUCAUGUACCUCUCUUCGGGGAGAACUUAUAGGGGAGACGACAUGCAACCAGCCUGGACUGAGGUCCGCGCAUCUGCUAGGAUGCUGGCGUAAUGGCUGUAAGCGGCCCGUCUUGAAACACGGACCAAGGAGUCUAACAUCUAUGCGAGUGUUUGGGUGUCAAGCCCGAGCGCGUAAUGAAAGUGAACGGAGGUGGGAACCUUUCGGGGUGCACCAUCGACCGAUCCUGAUGUCUUCGGAUGGAUUUGAGUAAGAGCAUAGCUGUUGGGACCCGAAAGAUGGUGAACUAUGCUUGAAUAGGGUGAAGCCAGAGGAAACUCUGGUGGAGGCUCGCAGCGGUUCUGACGUGCAAAUCGAUCGUCAAAUUUGGGCAUAGGGGCGAAAGACUAAUCGAACUAUCUAGUAGCUGGGUUC